CUCCCCCCUCCCCCUUUUGAUCCCCUUCUGCGGGUUGCUGUCCUAUCCAGCGAGGCGGCAGGCUGCCCCGCGUCCGGCAAGGCGGCCGUUGUUUGCCAGGAGUCGGGCAAGCGCAACCCACCCCAUCGGCCUAUGUCCUCAGCCGAGCCGCAGCACAGAGCAGACAGAGAGCAGAGCUGGCAGAGGCCAUCAGGAGGAAGAAGCCACCUGGCGACGUCAUCCGGAUCGUGAGCACCAGGAGCAAGCCGCAGCUCGCCGCCACGUUCCGGUGCUACAAGGAACAACAUGGCAGCGACAUCGAAGAGGUUUAUUAAUUAUCACCUCCUUUUGUGUCUAACUAAUAGUAGCAAUAUACAGUAUAUCUGUCAAGUAUCCAAUUCACGGACACACAAGUGAACUGAAGCGCUUGUUCUUGUUGCUGCUGCUGUUGUUGCAGGACAUGAAGCAGUACAACAGCAGCCAGUUUGCAAGGAUGCUCAAGAUUGCUGUCUGGUGCCUCACAUCUCCUGAAAAGCACUUUUCAGAGGUACGCCACGGCACGCAGAUCAACCUCACCCUGCGCGCCCGCUGGUGGCUGCACUGCAUCACGCGCAGCCGCGAGUGCGACGCCAGGCUCGUUGUGCCCAUGGGGGACCAUGUGAGGCCAUCGGAUUCUGUCAUCGUCGUCGGCGUAUCGCAUAUUUUUUUAAUUUCCUGGUGUUGUUCUGUUGGCUCGUCUCAGUAGGACUCAGUUUGGGGAGGGUUGGCAUGAUUGGUGAUGCCGUAUUAUUGUGUCUGUUUGACUUGAGUUGUUGUACAGUUAGGGUCGCUUGUCGUGUCAGGGUGUCUGACUGCAAUCUUUGGCUUGCCUGAUGCUAAAUUCUAGAUACUGGGUAGGAUGAUACUUCGUGGAGAAACAGUUGUAUACAAAUUCUAUCAUUGUGUUGUAUAGUGGGUAUCUGAUUCAGUAGCAAAUUAUGAAAAGGGAUACAGUCCAUGCUUUA
Molecule: long non-coding RNA, 983 nt
Organism: Triticum aestivum (bread wheat)
Lineage: Eukaryota; Viridiplantae; Streptophyta; Magnoliopsida; Poales; Poaceae
Exons: 2
Source: RefSeq, a predicted model, not a curated record